This is a long non-coding RNA of Larimichthys crocea (large yellow croaker), 808 nucleotides long. RefSeq lists it as uncharacterized. The record is from RefSeq and is a predicted model, not a curated record. Lineage: Eukaryota; Metazoa; Chordata; Actinopteri; Sciaenidae. The transcript has 3 exons.
CUGGACUGGAGAGUCCACACUGCACACUGGAAAGUCUCAGGCUGUCCGGCUGUCUGAUCACAGAGGAAGGCUGCUCUGCUCUGGCCUCAGCGCUGAGCUCCAACCCCUCCCACCUGAGAGAGCUGGACCUGAGCUACAAUCAUCCAGGAGAGUCCGGAGUGAAGCUGCAUGCUGGACUGGAGGAUCCACACUGGACACUGGACACCCUCAGGUCAGCAUCAGGGAAGCUUCCUGCAGUCUCAGUGUUUGAGUGACUGCACACAGAGGACUGAAGGAUGAAGUUCAUGAGAGGAAACUGAGUAAGUGGACCGAGCUUCACUUCCUGUCUUCACCAGGACUCCACAGCGUGUCCAUCAGGUGACUGAUCGCCAGCCUGAAGGUAUCACAACACGUCACGUUACAUUUGAUACUUUCACUCUUCAACAUCUUCAUUCUGACUCUGAGUCAGUUACAGUCCUACAGUUCACAACCCUAAUAUGCCACGCUGUUUCCAUGGCAACAGUCAAAGUCUUUAGUUAGUUUAGUAUUUCAAUUCAAUUGAAUUUUAUUUCUACAGCUCCGGGUCACAACUUCAGAUAUCUCACGAGACUUUCCAUGCAGAGCAGGUCAGACCGACUCUGUGUGAUGUUAUUACAGAGUCCAACAGUUCAACCAUGAGCAAACACUUGGCGACGGUGGCGAGGAAACCUCGAACAGGCUGAAGCUCAUUGGUGGACGGUCAUCCACUAAUUCAAGGGGUGGGACAAGUCGCAGCAUUAAUGAGACGUGUAUGUUUACAGAUGGAGAGAGAGAGAGGGGCAGUCUAAUC